CAGUCGCCGCGGGAAUACGAAGGGUGCAAGCGUUAAUCGGAAUUACUGGGCGUAAAGCGUGCGUAGGCGGUGAGUUAAGUCUGCUGUGAAAUCCCCGGGCUCAACCUGGGAAUGGCAGUGGAUACUGGCUCGCUAGAGUGUGUCAGAGGACGGUGGAAUUCCUGGUGUAGCGGUGAAAUGCGUAGAGAUCGGAAGGAACAUCUGUGGCAAAGGCGACUAUCUGGGCCAACACUGACACUGAGGCACGAAAGCGUGGGGAGCAAACAGGAUUAGAUACCCGCGUAGUCCCUGUCUCUUAUAC
This 301-nucleotide ribosomal RNA is filed under the name uncultured bacterium. RNAcentral's name for it is "partial 16S ribosomal RNA". It matches the Rfam family "Bacterial small subunit ribosomal RNA", at positions 509 to 807 of the family's 1533-position model. The record is from RNAcentral.